RNAcentral lists this ribosomal RNA (218 nucleotides) under uncultured bacterium. Its description in RNAcentral is "partial 16S ribosomal RNA". It matches the Rfam family "Bacterial small subunit ribosomal RNA", at positions 524 to 728 of the family's 1533-position model. The record is from RNAcentral.
UACGUAGGGUGCAGGCGUUAAUCGGAAUUACUGGGCGUAAAGCGUGCGCAGGCGGUUUGCUAAGACAGGUGUGAAAAUCCCCCGGGCUUAACCUGGGAACUGCGCUUGUAACUGGCAAGCUAGAGUGUGGCAGAGGGGGGGUGGAAUUCCACGUGUGAGGCAGUGAAAUGCGUAGAGAUGUGGAGGAAGACCGAAGUGCCCGUAAGGGCGGAGGCUUU